GUCCAGACUCCUACGGGAGGCAGCAGUGGGGAAUAUUGCACAAUGGGGGAAACCCUGAUGCAGCGACGCCGCGUGAGUGAAGAAGUAUUUCGGUAUGUAAAGCUCUAUCAGCAGGGAAGAAAAUGACGGUACCUGACUAAGAAGCCCCGGCUAACUACGUGCCAGCAGCCGCGGUAAUACGUAGGGGGCAAGCGUUAUCCGGAUUUACUGGGUGUAAAGGGAGCGUAGACGGCAUGGCAAGUCAGAUGUGAAAGCCCGGGGCUCAACCCCGGGACUGCAUUUGAAACUGUCAGGCUGGAGUGCAGGAGAGGUAAGUGGAAUUCCUAGUGUAGCGGUGAAAUGCGUAGAUAUUAGGAGGAACACCAGUGGCGAAGGCGGCUUACUGGACUGUAACUGACGUUGAGGCUCGAAAGCGUGGGGAGCAAACAGGAUUAGAUACCCCUGUAACA
Molecule: ribosomal RNA, 449 nt
Filed under: uncultured bacterium
Lineage: Bacteria
Description: bacterial SSU rRNA
Rfam family: Bacterial small subunit ribosomal RNA
Source: RNAcentral